ACGUCAUCCUUUCUUACUAGAAGCGGAGCUGGAGCGGUUCGGGAGUGCCAGAGGGAACCGCAGAGGCCGUGAGUGCAGGGCAGGGCGGCGGGAGAUAAGGUUAGGGAAAGCAGGCAAGAUAGAGCCUAUCGGAGGCUGUUGAGAGGGGUUUGCUUUGACUGCAGGCGAGAUAAGAAGCUUUCAGAGGGCUUCAACCAGAGGAGGGACCUGAUGGCUCACUCAGGUUUUACUGGGUCCCUUCUGGCUUGGAGUCGGGGCUAGACUGGAGAGGGGCAGGAGCAGCCCAGAAGCCAGGGAGGAGGCCGCUGCAAGAGACCGCACAAAAGAUGGCGGCAACUUGGUCCGGGGUAGAAGACGUGGCAGUGGUUCUUCCCCCCUGUCCCGUCUGCUGAUCAGCAAAAGGAGGUGUUCAGUUCAACAGCACAUUUUCCAACUUCCGACUCUGCUGAUGACUGGCACUGUCCCUCAAGAAGACAGCUUUGGCCGUCCCUACACAUUUAAAUGUGCACACCCAAUAAUUUCUUGGAUUAUGACUAGAGAAAUACCCACAGAAGUGCACAAGACAAAUGCCCAGGAUGUUCAGUGAAACACUGAGUGCUGAUGACUUGAAUGUCCACCAUCAUAAGACUGUCUAGAGAAGUUACAGCAUACCUAUCCCUUGGAAAGCAACGUAGCCUGGAGAAAAGAAUGAAGAAGGAAUUGAACCACCCUCCCUCUGCUGAAAAAAAUCCCAUGAGGAAUUCUGAUCAGAUGCCGGAGCUGUGGAGCAGAUCCCCUGGAGGCUAUCAUGUUUCUAGAAGGCUCCUAGAAGGCAACAAGUCUUGCAACCUGACUCUUAACUGACUUCUUACCUGUUGGAUUGUCUCAGGGCAAGGGGAAAAGGACACAGGCAUGCUUUCUGCUUCCAAACAAAAUUAUGUAUUUCAUAAUGGAAGAAAUCUUUUCAUACCAACAAUUGAAAUUCACUGGACCCACAGAGGGUCAAGCCAACAGAGGGCAAGAGACCUGGAACCCAGCUGCCUGGGUUUGGGCACCAGCUCUACCCCUUAUCUGUGGGGCCCCGGGCAAGUUGCUUGACGUGUCUGUGCUCCAGUUUCCUCCGGUAAAAUGCGGGUGAUAAUAG
This is a long non-coding RNA of Neogale vison (American mink), 1123 nucleotides long. RefSeq lists it as uncharacterized. The transcript is spliced from 3 exons. The record is from RefSeq and is a predicted model, not a curated record. NCBI's taxonomy places the organism in Eukaryota, Metazoa, Chordata, Mammalia, Carnivora, Mustelidae.